This 611-nucleotide long non-coding RNA is filed under the name Rattus norvegicus (Norway rat). RNAcentral's name for it is "long non-coding RNA NONRATT011158". Lineage: Eukaryota; Metazoa; Chordata; Mammalia; Rodentia; Muridae. The record is from RNAcentral.
GAUGCCGGGGAGUCAAGGUCCCCGGAAGUGUGGAUGUGGCUAUCCGCCCACCUCUCCCUACCAUUAAUCCAGGAAGCAUCAACUGCCAAAGGCACCUGGAAUAGACAAAUAAAAAAAAUCAGUGAAUACAAGCUAUAGUCAGGAAACCAAUGGGGAGGAAACCAACAAGGGGGGCCUUCCUCUGGGACAUGAGUAGAUGGGGGUGGGUAGAGACCCACAAAGCAACAAUGUUUGGUAUGGAGAUUACCUGAAGGACUGGACAGGGAAAAGCUAUGAAGAAAUGGAGAAAGAACAUGAGGAAGUGAGCGGCAGAGAUUGGAGAAGACUCCCCUCCACGGUCUCCAAAGAACCCUACAAUUCGGAUCAGGAAUGGAGAGGAAGUAGUAACCGCCAUCUUGGAUCCAUCCUUCCUGGCCUCCUCAGUAUCUUCCCCGUUCUCUUUUCUAUUCCAUACCCAACCUACUUUCUAGCUGUGCUGUUACCGUGUCACCUCUGUGUCCCCCAGCCUUCUUUUGAGACAGCUACAUGAUUUCCUGAGUGUUUGCAUGGGAAGUUUGAAGUACAGCUAACUAAAGUAAAUACAAAAGACAGACGGACCAACUGAGAAAGAA